RNAcentral lists this ribosomal RNA (573 nucleotides) under Cladosporium herbarum. RNAcentral describes it as "eukaryotic LSU rRNA". The stretch from base 223 to 376 matches the Rfam family "5.8S ribosomal RNA". Lineage: Eukaryota; Fungi; Ascomycota; Dothideomycetes; Cladosporiales; Cladosporiaceae. The record is from RNAcentral.
UUCAUAGAGGAAGUAAAAAGUCGUAACAAGGUCUCCGUAGGUGAACCUGCGGAGGGAUCAUUACAAGUGACCCCCGGUCUAACCACCGGGAUGUUCAUAACCCUUUGUUUGUCCGACUCUGUUGCCUCCGGGGCGACCCCUGCCUUCGGGCGGGGGCUCCGGGUGGACACUUCAAACUCUUGCGUAACUUUGCAGUCUGAGUAAACUUAAUUAAUAAAUUAAAACUUUUAACAACGGAUCUCUUGGUUCUGGCAUCGAUGAAGAACGCAGCGAAAUGCGAUAAGUAAUGUGAAUUGCAGAAUUCAGUGAAUCAUCGAAUCUUUGAACGCACAUUGCGCCCCCUGGUAUUCCGGGGGGCAUGCCUGUUCGAGCGUCAUUUCACCACUCAAGCCUCGCUUGGUAUUGGGCAACGCGGUCCGCCGCGUGCCUCAAAUCGACCGGCUGGGUCUUCUGUCCCCUAAGCGUUGUGGAAACUAUUCGCUAAAGGGUGUUCGGGAGGCUACGCCGUAAACAACCCCAUUUCUAAGGUUGACCUCGGAUCAGGUAGGGAUACCCGCUGAACUUAAGCAUAUC